AAAGGACUGAUACCGGGCCUGUCGGGGCCUGGAAGAGUUCCUCUGCGCGACGGCAUCAAAUAACGGGGCCGGUCGCUGUGUGGAGUGCAGCUGCUGAUGUGCAGUCGGUGGGCGGUCAAGCGACCUGGUUAGCUGCCACAGGCAGGUGGCGCAUGUCCACGGCUCCGUGUCCAGGCCACGGCAUCGCUCAUCAGAUGAAG
RNAcentral lists this microRNA precursor (200 nucleotides) under Chlamydomonas reinhardtii. The record is from RNAcentral. Lineage: Eukaryota; Viridiplantae; Chlorophyta; Chlorophyceae; Chlamydomonadales; Chlamydomonadaceae.